RNAcentral lists this small nuclear RNA (312 nucleotides) under Octodon degus (degu). Its description in RNAcentral is "7SK RNA (ENSODEG00000024556.1)". It matches the Rfam family "7SK RNA". From Rfam's summary of the family: 7SK was discovered as an abundant small nuclear RNA in the mid-70s but a possible function has only recently been suggested. Two independent studies have found that 7SK RNA binds the CDK9/cyclin T complex (known as elongation factor P-TEFb). The record is from RNAcentral. Lineage: Eukaryota; Metazoa; Chordata; Mammalia; Rodentia; Octodontidae.
GGCUGCACCCAGAUGUGAGAGCGACACGUGUCACCCACUGAUGGUCAACACUACUCGGCUGAUCGGGCUGGUGAGAUGGGUGUCCUCUUCCUCACUCACCACACCAUGCCUGUCCUUUCCGAAGCCUUGUGCUUGGUAGACAUUGGCCCUCCAGCGAGGAGGACCACCUCCUCUGGCCAGAGGACGUGCAGAGCUGCGCUCCCCUGCUGGAACCUCCAAAAAGCUCUCAGGCUCUCUCAGUCAAACCAUUCCUGUCCAGAAAUGUCUUUAUAAGUGUAUUUGCCAUUGUGCCUAAAUAAAUUGUUUCCUUUU